GGUCCAUAGAAUCCCACAAAUAAGGUAAGCUAGAGCCACCCAAAUAAGAAUGUAGUAUGCACCUUGGAUUCUUCCAUUUGUGCCGCCUAACACCUUCCUCUUUUGCCCAGGCGUGUGGUGUUUAAUUAGGACCAUUGUUAGCUACUUUUGAUUCUUUCUAAGUUAGCUUCUUGUCAUCCAAAUAUGGUUGCCUAAUUUAUUCUCUGCACCAAGAGAAACUGGGUUGAAUCUGGAUGUGUCAGCUGCUGCCUAUUAUAUUUAACAUUAUUACCAUCUUGAUUUGCU
Molecule: long non-coding RNA, 285 nt
Filed under: Elaeis guineensis (African oil palm)
Lineage: Eukaryota; Viridiplantae; Streptophyta; Magnoliopsida; Arecales; Arecaceae
Description: long non-coding RNA (EGUI_LNC025862)
Source: RNAcentral